RNAcentral lists this ribosomal RNA (281 nucleotides) under Bacillus thuringiensis. RNAcentral's name for it is "partial 23S ribosomal RNA". It matches the Rfam family "Bacterial large subunit ribosomal RNA", at positions 327 to 611 of the family's 2925-position model. Lineage: Bacteria; Bacillati; Bacillota; Bacilli; Caryophanales; Bacillaceae. The record is from RNAcentral.
UGUUAGUGGAAGCGUCUGGAAAGGCGCGCGAUACAGGGUGACAGCCCCGUACACAAAAAUGCACAUACUGUGAGCUCGAUGAGUAGGGCGGGACACGUGGUAUCCUGUCUGAAUAUGGGGGGACCAUCCUCCAAGGCUAAAUACUCCUGACUGACCGAUAGUGAACCAGUACCGUGAGGGAAAGGCGAAAAGAACCCCGGCGAGGGGAGUGAAAUAGAACCUGAAACCGUGUACGUACAAGCAGUGGGAGCACCUUCGUGGUGUGACUGCGUACCUUUUGU